CCCACGAUGAAGCCCUCUUGCUGAAACCGAGCCUGAGGGUGCAGCUUGAGCGGGCCCUGCUCCCCUGGGAGCCCUUGCAGUUUUUCGAAUCUUCUCCUGCUGCCCGGGUUUACCUCUGCGGUCCUCUGUCACUGAGCUAUUUCCUUUUUUUCACGUGUUGUGUCCCUGAAUUGUUAGGGACUGGGCUAUCCCUCUCCCCAGUGGUCUUACACCUCAGAUUCACAGGGAUCCAAAAAUGUGGGGCGGGGGGCACAGCUGCCUGAGUGUCAUGUGUCUCCCUUUGCCUGUUAUCCAUGUCCCUCUGUCCCUGUGGAUUUAUAUGCUGUGACCUAAAACCCAGGUGUAGGUUGAUAUCCUGUUAAAAUUGCACCAUGAGCCAGGUGUGGUGGUGCACGCCUUUAAU
Molecule: long non-coding RNA, 403 nt
Filed under: Mus caroli (Ryukyu mouse)
Lineage: Eukaryota; Metazoa; Chordata; Mammalia; Rodentia; Muridae
Description: predicted gene 29093 (MGP_CAROLIEiJ_G0034440.1)
Source: RNAcentral